Molecule: long non-coding RNA, 1736 nt
Organism: Diceros bicornis minor
Lineage: Eukaryota; Metazoa; Chordata; Mammalia; Perissodactyla; Rhinocerotidae
Exons: 3
Source: RefSeq, a predicted model, not a curated record
AGGGGCUUACAAUUGCUAUAAGCCUCCAGCCUUUAGGUCUCUUGUCAGCUCUCUGAGGAUUGUGGCUGGCCUCAGGCACGGGAGUACCGAAUUGUUUCAGGCUUUGGAUGGUGGGGCAAGCCCCCUAUGUGGGUCUUUGAGAAGCACAAGUCUUCUGCAGCUGACAAGCCCCGCCGCCCACAGGUCCACACACACAGUCAACACAGUCCUGCCCCGUGUGCGUGCCCCGACCUCCUGAAGUGGACGCAGUUUCUCCAAGGCAGGAGCCCCACACACUCCACCACCAUCCCACACUCUCCACCCACUCCUUGCACACACCCUGCCCCACAGAGGUGGACCCACUCACCAGGCUGCGGAGAAUCCAGGCAGCUCACUUAGCGGGCCCACAGGUUGCCCGAGGGCUGCUUGUUGGGUGGGGCCAGUCCCUAGGGUGGGCUGCCUGCCCUGGCUGAGCUGGAUUAAGUCAGUGCUCUAGUGGGUGGGGCAGACCCUGGGCUAGCAGGCCCCAGGGAGAACUCCAAUGGCCACUGCCAGCGUCUGUGUCAGCACGCCCACACCAGGCCACAACAAUGGCCGCCACCAAAGUCCCAGUCCCUGGAGAGGUCUCACCUCUCACCGAGAUGCACUCAGAGCCUAUUAGCAGUGAUCCCGAGGGCUAGAGAUGGUGAAACCCAGGUUUGUCUGACUCCAACGCCCAUAGAAAGAGAGCAAGAUGGAGAGAUGUGCUUUCCCAUCUGUCCUGGCCCUUCCAGCUGGGCUGUUGCCUGAGCUGAGUGACCCAGUGACGAUGAGUAGACGAAUGUUGCCGAGACAACAGAAUCCCACACCCCUUUCCAGCGCUGAGGCCCUUCUCCCUCCCCCUGUCUGCCUGCUGGGAUCUCACCUGAGAAUGGGAAUGUGCUUUGGCCAAGGGCGAAGGGAUAGAUGUACGAUAGAGGAUACAAGGAGAGAGGUGAAAUCUUGGGAUGCUCUCAGAAGGGACUGGGGGAGGGACCAGAGUCACAAAGAAAGCAUUCUUCACAGCACUGAGAUCCCAGGAGACGAUGAAGACUGUGAAAGCAUAGUGGCUCUAACAUGUGGUCCUGUGAUUUUCUCCAGCAGUACACAGUGCUACAACCAUUUUCUGAAGCCAGGCUCCCUGGAUCAGGCCCUGGAAAAAGGGGCCUGUGUUGUUAAAGGAGAAAGGAGCCUGGCAUCACUCGUGGAGGGCAACGACGGCCUUGAGGAGGACCUGCUCACCUCAGUGACCACUCUCAUCAGUUACUCCACUCUGUGUGUCCGUCUGUCUGGUCCACUCUUCCUUCUGUGCUCUGUUUUGGGGGUCUGUUUAUGGGAUGUGGAACGUUGUCCUAGGUUAAAGGAGAGGACAAGGCCAGGAUGCCCCAAUCUCCUCUAACACGGACUGGUGAGACCAUGGGCAGAGGAGGAGCCGGUGGGGGUGGUGUUCCUCGGACUGCAUGAGCACUUUGGUUAAUUUAUUCUCUCUGGCCGAUCUGACCUUCAUCAUGAGUGCCCACGCUCUGGACUGGAUAGUAAGGGGUGAAAAAACCCACUGAUUUUAUGUCUACUUUCUUAAGUGUAAUCUGAUGCUGUCAUGUGAAUGGUUCAUUUGAACAAAUGCUCAGUCUGUUUUGGUGGAAAUGCUCAGUCUCUCAGAUUUCCACCCCACCUCCCUACUCCUUUCCAAGGCGGGGAAGGGGGAUGUGUGUCUUACAAGUCUCCCAGGUGAUGUGAGA